This 251-nucleotide ribosomal RNA is filed under the name uncultured bacterium. RNAcentral's name for it is "partial 16S ribosomal RNA". It matches the Rfam family "Bacterial small subunit ribosomal RNA", at positions 524 to 776 of the family's 1533-position model. The record is from RNAcentral.
UACGGGGGGGGCAAGCGUUGUUCGGAAUACUGGGCGUAAAGGGCUCGUAGGCGGCCAACUAAGUCAGACGUGAAAUCCCCAGGCUCAACCUGGGAACUGCGUCUGAUACUGGAUGGCUUGAAUCCGGGAGAGGGAUGCAGAAUUCCAGGUGUAGCGGUGAAAUGCGUAGAUAUCGUGGAGGAAUACCGGUGGCGAAGGCGGCAUCCUGGACCGGAUGACGCUGAGGAGCGAAAGCCAGGGGCGCAAACGGG